This 21-nucleotide microRNA is filed under the name Ananas comosus (pineapple). Its description in RNAcentral is "microRNA s1459_c077b". Lineage: Eukaryota; Viridiplantae; Streptophyta; Magnoliopsida; Poales; Bromeliaceae. The record is from RNAcentral.
CGAAGGCUUCUGGGGUAAUGA